UGGCUGGAGUUCCCAAUACAGCUUUCCUGUGACCAAUCCCACACCUCAGUGGCUGGACACAUCAGGUCAUUUCCAUAUUGAAAGCUUCAUCUGCAGCAGAGCAGAUGACCUCAUCAGUCCUGUGUAUUGUGAAGGUAAAAGGCACGGGUGUCCUGUGUGGAAGAUAUGAACUGUUGAGCUCUUCAGAAAAAGCGUUUCAGUGAGCAAUGUUCCUGGAGAUGCUUAACAGCCUGCGCCACCCAGCCACUGUGAGCAGCCCAGCCACUGUGAACAGCCCAGCCACUGUGAACAGCCCAGCCACUGUGAGCAGCCCAGCCACUGUGUGCAGCCCAGCCACUGUGAGCAGCCCAGCCACUGUGUGCAGCCCAGCCACUGUGAGCAGCCCAGCCCAGCCACUGUGUGCAGCCCAGCCACUGUGAACAGCCCAGCCCAGCCACUGUGUGCAGCCCAGCCACUGUGUGCAGCCCAGCCACUGUGAACAGCCCAGCCACUGUGUGCAGCCCAGCCACUGUGAACAGCCCAGCCACUGUGUGCAGCCCAGCCACUGUGAACAGCCCAGCCACUGUGUGCAGCCCAGCCACUGUGAACAGCCCAGCCACUGUGAGCAGCCCAGCCACUGUGAACAGCCCAGCCACUGUGAACAGCCCAGCCACUGUGAGCAGCCCAGCCACUGUGUGCAGCCCAGCCACUGUGAGCAGCCCAGCCACUGUGAGCAGCCCAGCCACUGUGUGCAGCCCAGCCCAGCCACUGCAUCCAGCACUGCUUGUGACAGACGGUUAAUGGCAGAGCUCUUUAAGCUUAUAAUUUCUUGACAGUGUUGAAAAAUGAACAGCACUGUUUGCAUUUCCACGAGCUAUUCUUAAAGCUUCCUUUGUUCGGGAUGUAUGAAAUGAGAAGAUAAAUCAGAUGCAUCACGAAGUCAUUUGGGGAGGAGAGGUAAUAAGACAUUCAUUCCAUAAAGCGGUUUUUCAGCAUAUUUAUGUUUUCAUUUUUAAGUGUAUUUCAUCAAAAGCUUUGGCUUCAUCUAUAGCUAGUAUUAAUAAUUUGGAUUCAAAGUCUGUCCAACUUAUCAGGCUUUAGGAAUUAAAGCUGCUAGUAUUCAAACCUUGAUCAUUUAUAAGGGACUGGAGAGAAGGCUCCGUGGUUAGGAGAACUGGCCACUCUUCCAGAGGACACAGAUUCAAUUCCCAGCACCCACACAGCAGCUCAUAACCAUCUUUACCUCCAGGGGAUCCAAUGCCUUCCUUUGGCCUCCACAUGUGCUUUGCACACGAGUGAUACCCAGAAAUACAUGUAAACACCCAUACACACAAAAUAAAAUGUAAAACAUCUAAGCAAAAUAACCUAGACACAGAAAGACAAAUAUUAAUGUUCUUCCUCGUAAGUGAAACCUUAAAAAUGUUGAUUGUACUGAAGUAGAGAGUAGGAUAGUGGUCACUAGAGAGAAAAAGAAACAUGGAGCCUGGCUUAUAAGUGGAAAAGUACAGUUAAGUGAGAAAAUACAUUCUGGUUCACAGUACAGUGACUACAGUUUAUUAUUACUGUUGUUGUUGUUGUUGUAUCUUCAAAGAACUAAAAGAGAGGAGUUAGAAUGCUGCCAGCACAGAGAUAUAAAUAAAAUAUGGAAAUGUAAAUGACACUGACUUGACUAUUAUACCCAUUGUAAGCACAUAUCAAAUUAUCACGCACUAUCUCGUUACUGUGUAUAAGUGUUGUAUAUAAAUUAAUAGAACAAAACUGACUGUUACCACUCUGCUUAAAUGAAAAUUCUUAUGCAGAUUAUUCUAUGAAACAAUUAAAGAGUGUUUGAUUGC
Mesocricetus auratus (golden hamster) is the source of this 1814-nucleotide long non-coding RNA. RefSeq lists it as uncharacterized. Lineage: Eukaryota; Metazoa; Chordata; Mammalia; Rodentia; Cricetidae. The record is from RefSeq and is a predicted model, not a curated record. The transcript is spliced from 2 exons.